Long non-coding RNA from Magnolia sinica, 424 nucleotides. RefSeq lists it as uncharacterized. The record is from RefSeq and is a predicted model, not a curated record. NCBI's taxonomy places the organism in Eukaryota, Viridiplantae, Streptophyta, Magnoliopsida, Magnoliales, Magnoliaceae. The transcript has 2 exons.
UUUGAAAAUAUAACUUUUGGAGAGAAUGGAAUGCAAAAUUAGAAGAGCAGAAGCUUGAAAAAGUGGUUCACACAACAUUUGCGGCCCACCAGAUGCCUAGACUGCCCUAAUUUUCAAGCCAUGGGACACCACCUGAACUUCCUGGAUCUUACAUAGUAUGGGAGAAUGAUUUGAAAUCCUACUCAUGUCACUUGCCAGAUGGAUUCAAUAGUGCACUCUCGUUGUGAAGGAUCCAUAAAAGGCAGCCUCUAGGGUCGAAAAGAAAGUCCAUAUGCCAAGCUCUUGCUAACUCUAAAACCUUAACAAAAAGGAUCCAUAAAUGUAACCAUGAUUGUCAACGAUGAGAAGGAAGGUUAACUGCAAUCUAGCAUUUUUAUUUAUUUAUUUAUUUAUUUUUAAAUAUAAAAAUCUCUCCUUGUCGAUC